This is a long non-coding RNA of Myotis davidii, 664 nucleotides long. RefSeq lists it as uncharacterized. The record is from RefSeq and is a predicted model, not a curated record. The transcript is spliced from 2 exons. NCBI's taxonomy places the organism in Eukaryota, Metazoa, Chordata, Mammalia, Chiroptera, Vespertilionidae.
CCACCCAGGCAUGUGCCCUGACCAGGAAUUGAACCAGUGACCUCCUGGUUCAGAGGUCGAAGCUCUACCACGGAGCCACGCUCGUUGGGCCAGAAAGACAUGAUUUUAAUAUUGUCACCUGAGUCUCUGAAUCCCGCUCUCCCUGAAGCCCAUAUUGUUAUAGGAACCUCAUUAAGUCCUUUUAUUGAAGCCACGUUUGAGUUGGUUUUCAAGUAAUUGCAACCAGAAAGUUCUGCCUGAUGACGUGUUAUGGUGGCUUCACAGUAUUGCCCGGAGAGGCGUGAGUUGUCACCUGGUGCUAUUACCACUGAGUCUUCAACAACUCGGGCUUGAGCCGAGCGGGUCUACUGAUACACAGUUUUUCUCAAUAUUGUAAAUGUAUUUUCUCUUCCUUAUGACUUUCUUAAUAACACUGUCUUUUUUUCUGGCUUACUUUAAGAAUACAGUAUAUAACACAUAUAAUGGGCAAAAUAUGUGUUCAUCAGUUAUUUACAUUAUCCGUAAGGCUUCCAGUCAAUAGGAGGCUGUUAGUAGUUAAGUUUUGGAGAGUCAAAAGUUACAGGUAGAUUUUCUACUGCACAGGGGGGAGGGUUGGCACCCCAAGCUGCCAUGUUGUUUAACGGUCAACUGUAAUUUACAAUUUAAAUAUCCAUCAUAAUCCAUC